This 68-nucleotide transfer RNA is filed under the name Acanthistius patachonicus. RNAcentral's name for it is "tRNA-Phe". It matches the Rfam family "tRNA". From Rfam's summary of the family: Transfer RNA (tRNA) molecules are approximately 80 nucleotides in length. Their secondary structure includes four short double-helical elements and three loops (D, anti-codon, and T loops). RNAcentral also lists the same sequence under 1 other name. Lineage: Eukaryota; Metazoa; Chordata; Actinopteri; Perciformes; Anthiadidae. The record is from RNAcentral.
GCUAACGUAGCUUAAUUAAAGCAUAACGCUGAAGAUGUUAAGAUGAGCCCUAGAAAGCUCCGUAAGCA